RNAcentral lists this ribosomal RNA (454 nucleotides) under uncultured bacterium. Its description in RNAcentral is "bacterial SSU rRNA". It matches the Rfam family "Bacterial small subunit ribosomal RNA", at positions 29 to 524 of the family's 1533-position model. The record is from RNAcentral.
AACGAACGCUGGCGGCAUGCCUAACACAUGCAAGUCGAACGAGACCUUCGGGUCUAGUGGCGCACGGGUGCGUAACGCGUGGGAAUCUGCCCUUGGGUUCGGAAUAACAGCGAGAAAUUGCUGCUAAUACCGGAUGAUGACGUAAGUCCAAAGAUUUAUCGCCCAAGGAUGAGCCCGCGUAGGAUUAGCUAGUUGGUGAGGUAAAGGCUCACCAAGGCGACGAUCCUUAGCUGGUCUGAGAGGAUGAUCAGCCACACUGGGACUGAGACACGGCCCAGACUCCUACGGGAGGCAGCAGUGGGGAAUAUUGGACAAAUGGGCGAAAGCCUGAUCCAGCAAUGCCGCGUGAGUGAUGAAGGCCUUAGGGUUGUUAAAGCUCUUUUUACCCGGGGAUGAUAAUGACAGUACCGGGAGAAUAAGCUCCGGCUAACUCCGUGCCAGCAGCCGCGGUAAU